AGGGACAGACGAAGAACCAGACCAAAGCUGCACAGACCAGCGACCCGGCUAAGGUGAUGAGGAAGAUGGCCCACACCGGGAGCAUCUCCAGUCCGAGCACUGCAACCAACACAACAUUCCCAACAACAAGGGAGCAGACACAAAGCUCUGAAGCAAACAGUGCCUCCACCUCCUAACCAAUCAGUGACUGACGGUCAGCGACAUCAUAUCACCGAACUGGGCUGGAACCACAGCGAUGCAGCUACUGGAAAGUUGGAGGAAGAUUCCGAGCCGUGCUGUUGGAAUCCCCCGUUUCUUGUUUAAACUCACCUAUCCUGCACACAGAGCUCUGGUUGCAACCGAAGUGUGCUGAAAAAUGAGUAUUGAUCUUUAACUGCUUUUAUGCACGUUUCCAGAACGGCGCUGCUCUGGGCGGCUGCAUGUUGGAGUAGCUCUGUUGAUUAUAUGUAAGUUUUGCCUUUUUUGGACAUUUUUUCUUCUAGUUUCUCAAGAAAAACUGUAUUUUUUUGACAUUUUACUUUUCUGUUUCUGAUGCUGUGAAGCUUGGAGGAUUUUUACUGCUAUUUUUUUCACUUUUUGAGCAUUUGUUAUGAUGCGUAACCAUGGCAACAAGCUGGUUUACAAUCGGGAGCAGCUGAUUAACAUUGGAAAGGCUGAAAUAAUACCUCGACUGAAGCCACAAAUCCCAAAUGAGCUAAAACGCAAGAAGCGUGGGUGCAGAGCGGGAGCACAACGGAGACAGAGAAAGAGGAAAUUCAAACCAUCUCUUCCAUCGAUCAUAACGGGCAAUGUGAGAUCACUGGCCAACAAGAUGGAGGAACUCCAAGCCCUUUCAAGGACUCAGCCAGAGUUUCAGCAGUUUUGGAACCACUGGAGGAGAUAAUGCAAAGAAGGAUUCUCCAGAGAAUCAAGAAAAUGAUGGACAACCCUGAGCGUUCUCUUCACAAGACUGUCCGACAACGGAAGAGUGUCUUCAGUCAGAGGCUUCUUCAGUUUGGCUGCAACACUGACCGCUACUGGAGAUCCUUCCUGCCAACAGCCAUUGUAAUAUACAACAACUCUUUGAUGACUUGAUUAUUAUUAUUAUUCUGAGCUACUACAGCAAUCAGUUUCCCUCUGGGAUUAAUAAAGUAUUUUUGAAUGGAA
Non-coding RNA from Nothobranchius furzeri (turquoise killifish), 1146 nucleotides. The record is from RefSeq and is a predicted model, not a curated record. NCBI's taxonomy places the organism in Eukaryota, Metazoa, Chordata, Actinopteri, Cyprinodontiformes, Nothobranchiidae.